Anser brachyrhynchus (Pink-footed goose) is the source of this 1914-nucleotide long non-coding RNA. Lineage: Eukaryota; Metazoa; Chordata; Aves; Anseriformes; Anatidae. The record is from Ensembl.
AUGCUGAAAAUCAAAAGCGACGCUUCUGCCGUUGUGCUUCCCAAGAUUGAACAGCGGCGAUCUCACAGCCCUGAACUCGCCGGCACAGCCUGGCUCGCCUCUCACAGCCAAGGCGAUGCCAGCAUCUCCAGGGAUUUUCUCUCUCGACACGACCGCAGCGCAGGGACCCAGGUGCCACUGCUUCCCCUAACCUGCUGGCUGCAGGGUGAGGCUGUCCCGAGCCCCUGCCUGGCGCUGGGAUCCCACAGCAAUGCUUCCAGCAUCCUGCAGCCUGGCGGGGGGGAGGAUUUGGGAAUGGCCAAGGCGUGGGGCAUAGCCCGGGAUGUUUCUGUCAGCACCAGACAGAUGGGUGGUGAGGAGGGGUGUAGGGAACGAGUAUCCACUGCAGCACCUCCAGAACCACGCGCUGGCGCUCACCGCAGCUGCCAGGUCAGAAGAGGUGCAGAUAAAGAGCAAAAAACCUGCAGCUCAGCUGGCAAACACCUGGCAGAGGGGGAAACAUUCAAAAAGUUCCCCGAAGUAAGAGCCCGACCCGCUUGGAGGAGUCGAGCAGGAGCAGGAGGGACCAAGGGGAACCUCCGCGGCGCUGACACGCUGCGGUGCCUCCCGCUGCCCUCCCGGGAGGUCGGGACGGCACCUUACCGUUACGGCCUCUGCCCGCGGCCGUGGCGGAGCAGGGAGGGCUCCUGGAGCUGGAGGGCGACCCCCGGGACCCCCGCGGCUCCCGCCGGGCGGUGUUCGCCCACCGAGGCCCGGCUCGCCCAGCAGGGGGCACGGGGAGGGCGCGCAGCGCCUGGGUGGGUGGGGGGCGCGGGGGGGGGCGGGGGGGGGGGGGGGGGUGCUGCAGAAAUUAAAGAAAAAGAGAAAAAGAGAAAACUUGGGAGUUUGCAGCUCGGCACGCCGGGGCGGCGCGGAGGCUGUGCUGCCGGGAGGGAGAAGGGGAGGGAGGGAGGGAAGGAAGGAAAGGAGGGAGGGGAGAGCGGGCGCAGCCCCUUCCCCGGCCCUCCCCUCGCCUCGCCCGGCCGCGGGGCGUGGAGGGGCGGCCCCGAGCCCGGCUCUCGGCACGGCCGGCUGAGCUCCGGCGGCGGGGCUCGGCGUCCCCCGGGCCGGGAGCCGCGGCGGGGAGCCGCCGGGGAUGCGGGGGGAGCUCGCCGCGGCGCUGCGCCAGGUAAGGGGCGGCGGGGAGCGAGGGGCUGCCCCCCUCAGCCCUUCCCCGCUUGGCGACAAGGGCUAACUUUGCCCGGCCGGCCCCUCCCGGAGCUCUCGGUGCCGGGAGGAGGGAGGGGGCUGCGGGAAAGUCGGGGAUGCGCGGCGGGAGGCUGCCGCUCGGAAGAGCGGAGCCCCGCAACGUGCCCCGCAGUCUGCCCCGCAGUGAUGUGCCCUGCCCUGCCCCUCGGAGCUGCCCCCGGCCCGGCGCUGCGGGAUGGGCACGCUCGGGCAGCCCGGAGCAGACGAGGGGGACGCGGGUGCAGGUGGGUGCUGCCACGAGGAAAGUCCGGGACCGGCUGGGGCUGGCGUUACUCGGGAGGGACCCGGGAACUCACCAGGAGGGUGCCCGGUGCCGGUAGGGAACAGCCGAGAGCCCCGAGAAACCUCCGGGAUGAUUUAGGCUCCGGUGACCCGUCGGUGCCUCGGAAAGCAGGACGGGAUGGGGAGGAGCGCGGGUGCCCCGAGCCUUCUGCUCACCGGAGGGCGGCUGGGGGCGAUGCGGGCGCGGAGCGGGGCGAGCCCGGGGCUCUUCUCCGGGCGCAGCUCGGGGCCACGGCCGCAGGGGAGCCCUGGUGCGGAGGAGGAGGCGAUGCUGAGCCGGCCUGGCUGCGCGGGGCACGGGGACGGGUCCCCAGAUCAGGAGGCGCCCGCGGUGCGGGCUUCUCGGAGCCGUGUGUCCCGGGGGGGGGGGGGUGUCCCCCUUAA